AGCGAACGCUGGCGGCAGGCCUAACACAUGCAAGUCGAACGAACCUUUCGGGGUUAGUGGCGGACGGGUGAGUAACACGUGGGAACGUGCCUUUAGGCUCGGAAUAAUUCAGGGAAACUUGUGCUAAUACCGAAUGUGCCCCUCGGGGGCCAGAUUAAUCGCCUUUAGAGAGGCCCGCGUCUGCUUAGCUAGUUGGUUGAGGUAAUGGCUCACCAAGGUGACGAUCAGUAGCUGGUCUGAGAGGAUGAACAGCCACAUUGGGACUGAGACGCGGCCCAAACUCCUACGGGAGGCAGCAGUGGGGAAUCUUGCGCAAUGGGCGAAAGCCUGACGCAGCCAUGCCGCGUGAAUGAUUAAGUUCUUAGAAUAGUAAAAUUCUUUCACCGGGGACGGUAAUGACGGUACCCGGAGAAGAAGCCCCGGCUAACUUCGUG
Molecule: ribosomal RNA, 434 nt
Filed under: uncultured bacterium
Lineage: Bacteria
Description: partial 16S ribosomal RNA
Rfam family: Bacterial small subunit ribosomal RNA
Source: RNAcentral